Molecule: long non-coding RNA, 114 nt
Organism: Dipodomys spectabilis (banner-tailed kangaroo rat)
Lineage: Eukaryota; Metazoa; Chordata; Mammalia; Rodentia; Heteromyidae
Exons: 3
Source: RefSeq, a predicted model, not a curated record
AAGGAAAACUUGAAUCAGUUUCUUAAUUAAAUAAAAUAAGGAGCAGCUGCCACUCUUAAAUGUCAUAAAGGAAAAAUUUCUUUCUUCUCCAUGUAGGAAGUCUCUUAAGUACUC